Molecule: non-coding RNA, 58 nt
Organism: Rattus norvegicus (Norway rat)
Lineage: Eukaryota; Metazoa; Chordata; Mammalia; Rodentia; Muridae
Source: Rfam
UGGCUCAGUGGUUAAGAGUGCUGGCUGCUCUUCCAGAGGACCUGGGUUCAAUUCCCAG